GCUCUCUGGUUUCUCUUCAGAUCCUAUAAAUCUUUUGCCUUUUACAAACAAUUUCCAUGGAGAGAAACUCAUGAGUUUCAUCACUGAUUUUCUUUUUUUUUUUUCAGGCACCGUAUUUGAUA
RNAcentral lists this small nuclear RNA (122 nucleotides) under Anser cygnoides (Swan goose). RNAcentral describes it as "U5 spliceosomal RNA (ENSACDG00005000338.1)". It matches the Rfam family "U5 spliceosomal RNA". From Rfam's summary of the family: U5 RNA is a component of both types of known spliceosome. The precise function of this molecule is unknown, though it is known that the 5' loop is required for splice site selection and p220 binding, and that both the 3' stem-loop and the Sm site are important for Sm protein binding and cap methylation. Lineage: Eukaryota; Metazoa; Chordata; Aves; Anseriformes; Anatidae. The record is from Rfam by way of RNAcentral.